UGCAGCGUUUGUGAAUCUCAGAAUUAUUAGCUGAGAAAACACAAGAUGGAAUCAGAAAAAACAUCCAUAGAAGAAAGCUAUAUGACAUCGACUUCGUCACAGAAAGAGACAAAUGGAUCAUCGUAUUGCAGGUGAAUUAAAAAAAACGGUGAAGAUCUAAGAAGAAGAAGAAGAAGAAGACGAAGACGAAGAGAUGAAGCAAUUAGGAAACUGUCUUUGGUUUCUUUUGUAAGAGUUGAACGAAAGGAACAUGUUUGGUCUUUCUGGACCAACCUUCACUUUCAAUAUUUUAUAUAAAACGUUUCUUUCUCGAAAUUUAAUAUUUUUCUCUAAAUCGAAGUUUCUUUUAAAAUUAGGUGACUUACGACGACGACUUUGAAUGGUAAACGAUAACGAGUCUUAUCAAUUAUCAUUCUUGUUUAUAGAAUAUAAAAACGAGUUCUCACCUUGGACUCACUAUACAAACUUGGAUUUUUCUAUAGUUUUGUUUUCUUUCUUUUUGUACGACAACUUCAAAAGUCAGGUGGGUGGAAUUUUCUAAGAAAGAACCUAAUGGACCCUAUUGUUUACAUAAAUUGACCAGAGCAAUAACCAUGUCCUAGUUUUGGUCCAUUGUUUUUAUCAUCAGUGCUAGAGAAUCUAAAGAUAUUGUGGGGAAGAAAGAAAAAAUAAUGGAGUGUGGGAUAAGGCAAUUAGUUUAAGAGAGUGACUAAAUAUGCCUAAGUUAAUCCUAAUUUGGUUGGGACUUGGAUAUAGAAGAAGAUUCAAACAAGUGAAGUUUAGAUAUCUUGUAUCACUUUCUUGAUUUUAUGGUUGAUGAUUUGAUAUGUGAUAAGGUAGAAUAGAAUGUGAAAAUGACAUAUUAGGAUCAUGGGGUGGCGUUAUCUAGAUUCUUCUAAAGGUUUUGUGUUGCUUAGGUUACUUGUUUGAGUUUCUCUUGGGAGGGUCUAGCUUAUUAGAACCUCUCAAUUAAACCAUAAGAAAAGAGAGAAAAAGAAGUUGGAUAUUGAAACUAUGAUGGUGUGUAUAAGAAACUUACCAUUAAGUGAAUGGAGUUUAUAGCAACUUGACGGUG
Molecule: long non-coding RNA, 1075 nt
Filed under: Capsella grandiflora
Lineage: Eukaryota; Viridiplantae; Streptophyta; Magnoliopsida; Brassicales; Brassicaceae
Description: long non-coding RNA (CGRA_LNC001224)
Source: RNAcentral